RNAcentral lists this ribosomal RNA (207 nucleotides) under uncultured bacterium. RNAcentral's name for it is "partial 16S ribosomal RNA". It matches the Rfam family "Bacterial small subunit ribosomal RNA", at positions 524 to 730 of the family's 1533-position model. The record is from RNAcentral.
UACAGAGGGUGCGAGCGUUGUCCGGAAUCACUGGGCGUAAAGGGCGCGUAGGUGGCGAUCCAAGUCCAUGGUGAAAGCUCGAUGCUCAACAUCGAGUCGGCCACGGGAUACUGGGUUGCUUGAGCACUGUAGGGGCAGAUGGAAUUCCGGGUGUAGCGGUGGAAUGCGUAGAGAUCCGGAAGAACACCGGUGGCGAAGGCGGUCGCU